This 788-nucleotide ribosomal RNA is filed under the name uncultured Lactobacillus sp. Its description in RNAcentral is "bacterial SSU rRNA". It matches the Rfam family "Bacterial small subunit ribosomal RNA", at positions 28 to 776 of the family's 1533-position model. The record is from RNAcentral. Lineage: Bacteria; Bacillati; Bacillota; Bacilli; Lactobacillales; Lactobacillaceae.
GACGAACGCUGGCGGCGUGCCUAAUACAUGCAAGUCGAGCGAGCUUGCCUAGAUGAAUUUGGUGCUUGCACCAAAUGAAACUAGAUACAAGCGAGCGGCGGACGGGUGAGUAACACGUGGGUAACCUGCCCAAGAGACUGGGAUAACACCUGGAAACAGAUGCUAAUACCGGAUAACAACACUAGACGCAUGUCUAGAGUUUAAAAGAUGGUUCUGCUAUCACUCUUGGAUGGACCUGCGGUGCAUUAGCUAGUUGGUAAGGUAACGGCUUACCAAGGCAAUGAUGCAUAGCCGAGUUGAGAGACUGAUCGGCCACAUUGGGACUGAGACACGGCCCAAACUCCCACGGGAGGCAGCAGUAGGGAAUCUUCCACAAUGGACGCAAGUCUGAUGGAGCAACGUCGCGUGAGUGAAGAAGGGUUUCGGCUCGUAAAGCUCUGUUGGUAGUGAAGAAAGAUAGAGGUAGUAACUGGCCUUUAUUUGACGGUAAUUACUUAGAAAGUCACGGCUAACUACGUGCCAGCAGCCGCGGUAAUACGUAGGUGGCAAGCGUUGUCCGGAUUUAUUGGGCGUAAAGCGAGUGCAGGCGGUUCAAUAAGUCUGAUGUGAAAGCCUUCGGCUCAACCGGAGAAUUGCAUCAGAAACUGUUGAACUUGAGUGCAGAAGAGGAGAGUGGAACUCCAUGUGUAGCGGUGGAAUGCGUAGAUAUAUGGAAGAACACCAGUGGCGAAGGCGGCUCUCUGGUCUGCAACUGACGCUGAGGCUCGAAAGCAUGGGUAGCGAACAGG